GUUUGAAUUUGUCUCUCUGCAGUGCUAUUUCUUGGGAAAGGAGUCAAUGAGGGUGUUGAGUCAAGGUGACUCUUCCACCAUAUUCUUCGCAUUCUGCAAAGGACUCUGUGAGGGUGCCCUAGCCUCCUUGACCUUUGGGAACCAGUGAACUAUUACAUCUGGAUUUCAUCCCCAUCUUUGAUUUCCACAUUUGGACUAUUUCUACCUUUUGGCUGUUGUUAACGGUGCUGCUAGGAAUAUGUAUGUCAGAUUUUUUUUGACAACUGUGUGCAGGAACAAGAUUUGCUAAAUCCCUUCAUUUUUAUUCAUACAAAUAUCAGCAUUCAGUGAGCAUCAGUUAUCCAGCGUUUAGAGGUAAGGAAAACUCAGGGAGAAUCUUGUGAAUUUCAGUUUAGUGCCAGGCAUAUAUCUCUGGGGAUAUGUUUGCUGCCUCAACUUUAACCCUUGACUACUCUGGUAUGGGACAACACCCUUACAAUGACUAGCAUGUGUAGCUUACCUUUUACUAACCUCAUGUCUAUGGCUGUAAGGUAGGUAGAUGAUAUAAUUUGUGGGAGGGAGUUGUGUUGGAUUCUUCUGAUGGGGCUUCUUUGCCUGUGACAAUCCUUAGAUUAGUGUUGAAGGAGAAGGACAAUUCAUUCCCUCCAGUAGAACCCCUUUAGCCUUACUUGGUUUUUAGUAGUAUCUUGGGGAGCAGACCACUUUUAAUUUGAAGGUGAUUUUUUUUUCACCCAGUAGAUGAAAUCAUGAUAUUACCAUCUACUACAGUUUGUCAUCACACUUGUUUAGUUUGAGGUUAUGUUAUCUAUUGCUAUAUAACAAAAUGCCCUAAAACUUAGUUGUUUAAAUUUUUUAUUAUUAUUUCAUACAGUUUCUGAGGGUCAGGAAUCUCGGAGCCACUUAGUUAAUGGUUCUGGUUUAGGUUCUCUCAAGAUGGUCAUCCCACCUGGGCUAUAAUUUGAAGGCUUGGCUGGGCUGGAGGAUCCAUUCCAAAGCUCACUCAUGUGGCUAUUGGUAAGAAGCCUCAGUUUCUCACAGGCUGUUGUCCAGAAGCCUCAGUUACUUACAAUGUGGGCCUCUCCAUAGAACUGUUUGCAACAUGGCAGUUGACGUCCCCCUAGGUGAAUGAUCCAAGAGAGCACAGAAGCCACACUAUCUUUUUUGACCUAGUCUCAGAAGUAACAUACCAUCA
Long non-coding RNA from Molossus molossus (Pallas's mastiff bat), 1192 nucleotides. RefSeq lists it as uncharacterized. NCBI's taxonomy places the organism in Eukaryota, Metazoa, Chordata, Mammalia, Chiroptera, Molossidae. The transcript has 3 exons. The record is from RefSeq and is a predicted model, not a curated record.